AUUGAACGCUGGCGGCAUGCCUUACACAUGCAAGUCGAACAGCAGCACGGGAGCAAUCCUGGUGGCGAGUGGCGAACGGGUGAGUAAUAUAUCGGAACGUGCCCAGUCGUGGGGGAUAACGUAGCGAAAGCUACGCUAAUACCGCAUACGAUCUAUGGAUGAAAGCGGGGGAUCGCAAGACCUCGCGCGAUUGGAGCGGCCGAUAUCAGAUUAGGUAGUUGGUGAGGUAAAGGCUCACCAAGCCGACGAUCUGUAGCUGGUCUGAGAGGACGACCAGCCACACUGGGACUGAGACACGGCCCAGACUCCUACGGGAGGCAGCAGUGGGG
Molecule: ribosomal RNA, 329 nt
Filed under: uncultured bacterium
Lineage: Bacteria
Description: bacterial SSU rRNA
Rfam family: Bacterial small subunit ribosomal RNA
Source: RNAcentral